Molecule: ribosomal RNA, 446 nt
Filed under: uncultured bacterium
Lineage: Bacteria
Description: partial 16S ribosomal RNA
Rfam family: Bacterial small subunit ribosomal RNA
Source: RNAcentral
CCUACGGGUGGCAGCAGUCGAGAAUCAUUCACAAUGGGGGAAACCCUGAUGGUGCGACGCCGCGUGGGGGAAUGAAGGUCUUCGGAUUGUAAACCCCUGUCAUGUGGGAGCAAAUUAAAAAGAUAGUACCACAAGAGGAAGAGACGGCUAACUCUGUGCCAGCAGCCGCGGUAAUACAGAGGUCUCAAGCGUUGUUCGGAUUCACUGGGCGUAAGGCGUGCGUAGGCUGUUUCGUAAGUCGUGUGUGAAAGGCGCGGGCUCAACCCGCGGACGGCACAUGAUACUGCGAGACUAGAGUAAUGGAGGGGGAACCGGAAUUCUCGGUGUAGCAGUGAAACGCGUAGAUACCGAGAGGAACACUCGUGGCGAAGGCGGGUUCCUGGACAUUAACUGACGCUGAGGCACGAAGGCCAGGGGAGCGAAAGGGAUUAGAUACCCCAGUAGUC